GCAAACGGGUCACCUGAUGGAAAGCAACUUCCGUCGCCCAUGGACACUCGCAGCAUCAUAAGAGCUGCAGGUGCGUUGCCGGCCUUUUAAGAGGGAAUACGCUCUCUUCUUGAAGGUUUGCAAGUCGUAUUGGGCCGGUCAUACCUGCUGGUGACAGUCCGUUACAGAGUUUUACAGUGCGCGGGAGAAA
This is a long non-coding RNA of Aricia agestis (brown argus), 190 nucleotides long. RefSeq lists it as uncharacterized. NCBI's taxonomy places the organism in Eukaryota, Metazoa, Arthropoda, Insecta, Lepidoptera, Lycaenidae. The transcript is spliced from 2 exons. The record is from RefSeq and is a predicted model, not a curated record.